This 292-nucleotide long non-coding RNA is filed under the name Homo sapiens (human). RNAcentral describes it as "HSALNT0319011". The record is from RNAcentral. Lineage: Eukaryota; Metazoa; Chordata; Mammalia; Primates; Hominidae.
CUAGACUAAAAGGUAAAUAAAACUCUACAUAAAGAAUCAGAUAAUCAUUAUUAUAAUGAAAAAUACCUAACAUUAUGUAUGUAAUGACCAGAUAUGAUAAUUCAUGAAAUAUGUGUCGGUUGUUCAAGAGGGAUCCAAAAAAUCAGAAAUCUUUAGUAACUUCCUCAAUGUUAUACAGCUGUUAUGAAGGACAGGAUUUUAACUUCAAAAUUUGUCUUUCUUGCGACUUCCAAACUAUCUUCUAUUUACCUGUGUAAUGACAAAUAGAACAUGGAUACACAUUACCCUGAUU